This 253-nucleotide ribosomal RNA is filed under the name uncultured bacterium. RNAcentral describes it as "partial 16S ribosomal RNA". It matches the Rfam family "Bacterial small subunit ribosomal RNA", at positions 524 to 776 of the family's 1533-position model. The record is from RNAcentral.
UACGUAGGGGGCAAGCGUUGUCCGGAAUCACUGGGCGUAAAGGGUUCGUAGGCGGCCUGCUAAGUCCUUCGUGAAAGCCCCAGGCUCAACUUGGGGACUGCGCGGGAUACUGACAGGCUUGAGGGUAGGAGAGGCAAGCGGAACGUUGCAAGUAGCGGUGAAAUGCAUUGAUAUGCAACGGAACACCAAUGGCGAAGGCAGCUUGCUGGACUACUCCUGACGCUGAGGGACGAAAGCCAGGGUAGCGAACGGG